This 377-nucleotide ribosomal RNA is filed under the name uncultured candidate division NPL-UPA2 bacterium. Its description in RNAcentral is "bacterial SSU rRNA". It matches the Rfam family "Bacterial small subunit ribosomal RNA", at positions 521 to 896 of the family's 1533-position model. The record is from RNAcentral.
UAAUACGGAGGGUGCAAGCGUUGUUCGGAUUUACUGGGUGUAAAGGGUGUGUAGGCGGUAUUGUAAGUGGGAUGUGAAAUCUCCGAGCUCAACUUGGAAACUGCAUUCCAUACUGCGAAGCUAGAGUACCACAGAGGCAAAUGGAAUUCUCGGUGUAAGAGUGAAAUCUGCAGAUAUCGAGAAGAACACCAGUGGCGAAGGCGAUUUGCUGGGUGGAUACUGACGCUGAAACACGAAAGCUAGGGGAGCGAACGGGAUUAGAUACCCCGGUAGUCCUAGCCGUAAACGAUGGACACUAGGUGUUGGGAGGGUUAAACCUUUCAGUGCCGCAGCUAACGCAUUAAGUGUCCCACCUGGGGAGUACGGUCGCAAGGCUG